AAACAGCUUGCUGUUUCGCUGACGAGUGGCGGACGGGUGAGUAAUGUCUGGGAAACUGCCCGAUGGAGGGGGAUAACUACUGGAAACGGUAGCUAAUACCGCAUAACGUCGCAAGACCAAAGAGGGGGACCUUCGGGCCUCUUGCCAUCGGAUGUGCCCAGAUGGGAUUAGCUAGUAGGUGGGGUAACGGCUCACCUAGGCGACGAUCCCUAGCUGGUCUGAGAGGAUGACCAGCCACACUGGAACUGAGACACGGUCCAGACUCCUACGGGAGGCAGCAGUGGGGAAUAUUGCACAAUGGGCGCAAGCCUGAUGCAGCCAUGCCGCGUGUAUGAAGAAGGCCUUCGGGUUGUAAAGUACUUUCAGCGGGGAGGAAGGGAGUAAAGUUAAUACCUUUGCUCAUUGACGUUACCCGCAGAAGAAGCACCGGCUAACUCCGUGCCAGCAGCCGCGGUAAUACGGAGGGUGCAAGCGUUAAUCGGAAUUACUGGG
Molecule: ribosomal RNA, 492 nt
Filed under: Escherichia coli
Lineage: Bacteria; Pseudomonadati; Pseudomonadota; Gammaproteobacteria; Enterobacterales; Enterobacteriaceae
Description: bacterial SSU rRNA
Rfam family: Bacterial small subunit ribosomal RNA
Source: RNAcentral